UUCAUCGCUUUUAAACACAUU
Molecule: non-coding RNA, 21 nt
Filed under: Caenorhabditis elegans
Lineage: Eukaryota; Metazoa; Nematoda; Chromadorea; Rhabditida; Rhabditidae
Source: RNAcentral